AAUCCUAAUAUAGUUCUAAAAAAAUCCUAAAAAAAUUCUAAUGAAAUCCUUAAUAAAUUCUAAUAAAAUUCUAAAAAAUCCUAAUAAAAUCCUAAAGUGAUUCUAAAUAAAAUCCUAAUAAACCAUAACCAAAUUCUUAUAGGUAUUUUGAAACCCCAUUUGAUUAAACAACUGAUUUCAACUAAAAAAAAUACUCACAUUUUAACUUUUAAGCAAAAAUCAAGUACAUAAAGUUUGAGAAAAAUCAAACUUAUCAAUUGAAAGAAAGAACUGCUAAUACUCUUGGAUGUUUGUCAUCCUCCUUCUCUAAUAUAAAUGUUGAUCUUCAUAUAAUAAUUACUCUUUGUUUAAUUGUUCAAUUGCUCUCUA
This 369-nucleotide long non-coding RNA is filed under the name Physcomitrium patens. Its description in RNAcentral is "long non-coding RNA (PPAT_LNC014805)". The record is from RNAcentral. Lineage: Eukaryota; Viridiplantae; Streptophyta; Bryopsida; Funariales; Funariaceae.